CAAAGUAUAGCACAGCAUCUGUGACAUCAUAUAGCCUGUCGCCAGGGCCCCACCCCAAUCAUCAUAUUACCUGAGUCAACUGGCACAGUUCAGCCACAGCUUAGCGGACUGUAGCAGAACUCACAGCUUCUCCCGGAGUGAAACAAAUACGACAAUGAUCGUGCUUUGAAGUCUUCACCCAUGUUCUCGAGGAGGAAUAAGGGCACAUUGCUGAAUGACACCAGAUAACUGAGAAUCUGUAUCCUAGUGGAACUGAACCUGGGUCCUCGUACUUGCUGACCACCAAUCUCAGCCCUAGAGCUGGAUUCUAAUCCCAGCUCUGCUGAGCAGAUCUUCUGGACUGAAACUCAGCCUCACACCUCCCUGGAAUGCUGCCUUCCAGAUUCUUGGACAUUCAUUCAAAAGGAACUCGAAGCCUCACUGGAUAUUUAGAUUAGACCUUUGUGAUGUGCAUCAGUGACCUGUGAUGUCUGCUUCUUCCCAAAGCAGAGGCUAGAUUUCACCCUGCUGUGCAUCCUGGAGACUCUGAGACAGACUUGUAUCUGACUUGCGCUCCAGUCAUGCACUUCGCUGCUUCUGGGAGGUGGAGCUGAAUUUAACACCUGCUCCUUUGGAGAGACUUGGAUUCACAUCCAGUGCAUCUCUACAGACUGGGCUUGAGUGAGUUUCGGACCUGUUGCUGACUCUGUGAAGAGCUUCUUGAAGCAGCUGUUUUAUCCCGUUAUUAGUUCAAGUCCCAAAGAAUAAUAGCAGGAACUGUAUUUCCGACUCCUCAGGCUGACUCACUAUGAGACUAUUUGAAACGAUGUAUCAUCAUGGUCAUCAUCAUCAUCACCAUCAGAAAGUACAAUGGCCUAUAGUCAAUCUUAUCAGACAGCAAAGUUGGGGAAGAGCAAACCCACUAUACUUUGCAAAGCUGCCCCCGGCCCCGCCCCGCCGCAACAUCCCAGUGCAUACUGACCCAUGCCACACCCUCCUUUGCAAACAGGAUAGAUAAGAUGGACAUUUCAAUUCUAUCCCCAAAGAUUGGCAUUCCCUGUGAGAUGCCAGGACCUGCAGACGUUCUAUAACCAGAAAACCCUGGUAGAGUUUCAACAUCUGUGGUAAAACAGGAGAUUGGGGAGGGCUGAAAAAAAAAGGAGGAGGUUGUGAAGAGAUUUAUUUCAUCCUUAACCAAGAAUGGCUAAGGGUCAUGCAGCCAUUUCCCACGUGAGCAUCCACCAAUAGAAAAGCAUCAAGUUCAAAGUCUCCUUUCGUUAGCUAGCGGUUAGCAUCAUCAAGGUGCGGCAACGGCAGGAAAAACCAAACUACCUGUACCAGCCAGAUCCUCUCACACAGGUAUUCAGGUUCCCAAAUAGUCCUACAUCCUAACAUCCAGUGGAGGUUCUGUCUUGGAGCAAGGGGCUUCCAGAGAGCAGUGGGGUCCCAGCCCAGUCAGCCCGAAGGGGCUCACUGCUUUGCAGGGAAAUGGUGACCUAUAUCUGUUUCUGUCCCUCAGACAUUUGCCCUCAGGGUUGACAUUUCCUGAGACAGCAGUUUGCUUAGUGUGCUAUACUCUGAAACUCAGCUUUUCCUGUCAGGAAAACUGGGUUUUACCGGAAAGCUUGGGCUUAUCAGGGGUUAGAAUCCCAGGGGCAAAGAAGACACGGGCCUUGUCGACAGUGGGCGUGGCAAGACAAUGGGCGUGGUAAGACAGUGGGCGUGGUAAGUGUGGAAGUUCCGGGGUUGAGCUUGAGCUAACACAUCCUUAUCAGCUGGCUAAUGGUGUACGUCAGCCUAAAGCCCACACUGGUGGGCUGGAAAGGUUUUCUGGGGAAGCAGCCAUGGGUUUUCAACAUCGGCAUAGGAGGUACAGCUAUUGGGCUUUGUCAUUCAUGACUGAUCCCCAAACCAACAGAGUCUUCGUUCCUCAGAACCUGUUAGAAAAGCAGAAAGCCUGUCCUCACGCCCAUCGAUUUACAAUCUGCACAUUAACAGCCCCAUUUGGGAAAUGAUUCUUAUUCAAGCAUUGGUCUAAACUGAAAGGAAGAGAGAACGAUUUUGAAUCUGGAGCACAUGAAGAAGCCUUUGAAACCUGCUCCUGUGUGGAAGACCACAGGAGUCUCAGACUGAGCAGGCAGAAUGAAGUGGGGGAGGGUGAGCCAUCUCCAUCUCCACAGGAGAGAAAUUCAGCUCCUGCCUGCCUCCACCUCAGGAAUCUUGGUGAUUGACCCAGACCGAGGGUUCCGGAAGUGGAAGUGGACAUCCCCAGGAUUUGUGUUUUGAAGUCAGAUUUUACUGCGGUGGUUUACGUGCCUGGCCCCCUGAAGUUUUUGCUCCAGUUGCUGCAGGGAACCUGGAUAGUCCUGGGCUCUGAUGCCGGUGCCCUGCAGCCACACAAACACCCCGAGGCUCCUCCUGGAGCCACAGCUUCUGGGAAAGACAUUUCGGAAGUUUCCCGUGGCUGCAACAAAUUGCUCAGGUCUGCACCACAGCAAGGCUGUGACCUGCCUUUCUCCACCUUGGCUCAGCCAGCUUCUGAAACUGGCAAAGGUCCCAUGUCCCUGCAGGCUCUGCUUCAUGGGAGUCAAAGGGGAGGACCAAGCAAGCGUUCCUGUCUGUUGAGACAUGGCACUCCUGACUAGUAGUCAGCACAGGAGCAGUGUCAGGUGCCCUGAGAGGAGGAGGGAGUUCCUGGAGGUAGACAAAUUUGGGACUGGAGGAAGUCUGUAUCUUGAAGCAAAAAGAGAGGCUGGAGUCAUGGAGAGAACCUUCAUGUGGAAGAUUCUAUCUACCCAAAGGUCACUUAAUUUCUGCCUUUUCUAACCACUGCUGUGUGACUAUAUAGCAAGGUGGGGGUGUGCCCUGAGCAGUGUUCUUGGCACUGAAACAGGAUGAUCCUACCCUCUGGAAGACAGACCCUGAGCCCACCGCACAAAGAUGCCCACCAGCAUGGGUUUCCUUACAUGCCCUUCUGUGUGGGAUUUUAUAAAUACAUUUCUGAAUUUAAUAGUUCCUUCCUGGUAAUUGGAAGGAAGACAAACCUUGACUAUCUGGCAUCUUAAGUCUGAAGUCUGUUUUAAAAUGACUCUAACGACUUACUGAAACCAAACUGGUUCCUAGAUUGAAGUCUUUGGGGGGCCUUGCUUCAACCAACAGGCCAGAGUUAUAAUUAGCACAUUAGUUCCUUGAUAGCCAAUUGAUCCUCUUAGGACAUAAACAUAAUUAAAAGCAGUUUGUUCUAAUGUCUGCUGUUUAACUGCUGCCCACUGCAUUGCGGGAUUAACCUUUUGCUUGCCAAGCAAACCCUGACGUAAUGAGUUCACAAGCUGACUUUCUGGCCAGUCUCAUUUAUACUAAAUGUAUUCUCAUAAAAUGGGUUCAGCGACUUCAAGUAUUUCCCCCACCCCCAUCCAAGUGGUCAAGAAGUUACGGCUAUUGUGUUCGCCUUCUGCGAACUUCUUCGAUGGGCUUUGGCACACAGGGGCCUCCUUGAGUCACAGUCAGCUUGUCCAGGACCAUAAAGAGAUAUAUUUUUGUUUCCUAUCCUAAACACUGUGUAACUCACUCACUCUUCAUUUUUCCAUGGAGAUUAUGGUAAGGGGGGGCGGGGCUGUGGGUCUCCAGGAGAAAGCAGCUUGUAAAACAGCCGUGGGGGGAUUCCAAAUCUGACUUAAUCAACCUUUCUCCAGAACCAUAGACCAAUAAAACUGCUUGCUUUCUUACCACA
Molecule: non-coding RNA, 3709 nt
Organism: Rattus norvegicus (Norway rat)
Lineage: Eukaryota; Metazoa; Chordata; Mammalia; Rodentia; Muridae
Source: RefSeq, a predicted model, not a curated record